AAAGAACUGGAAGAUGCCAUUGAGCAGAGCUGCACUCAUUAUGUAACCAAGGAAAAGAGCUUUGGAAGAAAAAAAAUCACAAAUGUCUACUGGGAAUUGUGUCCAGAAGCAGCAGCACAUUAUUGAAUAUUUUCUUUCCCAUCUGUCUUGCCUCCAUCUUCAAUCAAUCAAUCAAUCAAAGAAAGGAAGAAAGGAAGGACGGAAGGAAGGAAGGAAGGAGAAGGAAAGAAAGANUCUUGCCUCCAUCUUCAAUCAAUCAAUCAAUCAAAGAAAGGAAGAAAGGAAGGAAGGAGAAGGAAAGAAAGAAAAGAAAGAAAGAAAGAAGAAAGGACGGAAGGAAGGAAACAUUCCUUAUGUUACUAAAGAAAUGGAGGAUUCUAUUUCCUGAAAUACCUAGAGUAUUUGCCCCCUCCUGUUCCCUGAGGAAGUAUGCAGCCAUAAUGCUGAAGCGCUGCUAAAUGCAAUAAGGCAAAAAUCAUCACGGCUUGAUGGCACCAGAGUGCCAGCGCUUUGGAUAAAGAAUUAUCCCACUAACACAGCAUGAACCAGCCAAAAGGAAAAAGAAGAAAACAAUCCACAAACUCACGGUGUAUUUAUUUUUUAUGAUUCUAAGAAUCUUUAUUUAAAAAAGAUAAAAUGGGAAUCAUUGGAUGAGUAUAUUUGAAGGUGGGAAUCUCAGAGGCAAUUUGGAUCAGCUAUAGUUUGUGUGCUGGUCCUUGCCAUGGGGUUAUUGAACUGAAAGGCAAACAUAUAUUGUCCACCAACUUCAACCUGUAUUUCCACUCUUUGAUUUGUUCUUUGUAACAGAAGCUAUGAUUUUAAAAUAAGGUUUCUCUAAUUGAAAAUUUUUAAAAAAUGAGUUGAAUGAGUUCUGGGUCUAAAGUAUAAGGAGAAAAACAUCUUUUCUCUUGAAGGCGCAACAGAGGUUAUAAUAAAUAUUAAAUAUUUAUGUUGUGUGUGUAGCA
RNAcentral lists this long non-coding RNA (965 nucleotides) under Vulpes vulpes (red fox). RNAcentral describes it as "lncRNA (ENSVVUG00000027744.1)". Lineage: Eukaryota; Metazoa; Chordata; Mammalia; Carnivora; Canidae. The record is from RNAcentral.